AAGCAGAGAACCUUCUCUUCUCAGACUCUGAUCUUGGAUUAAGAGUGACAAUACCGAGCAGGAAUACCUCCAUAACAUGCUACAUAAAAGGAGUUCUCAGGGGUGCCAACCUUACAGUAGAGGUUGAGUAGUAGUAUAUUUCUCCCCUCCCU
RNAcentral lists this small nucleolar RNA (152 nucleotides) under Myotis davidii. RNAcentral's name for it is "Small nucleolar RNA U109". It matches the Rfam family "Small nucleolar RNA U109". The record is from Rfam by way of RNAcentral. Lineage: Eukaryota; Metazoa; Chordata; Mammalia; Chiroptera; Vespertilionidae.